UGUCUCCUUCUCUGUAAGUCACUUUGGAUAAAAGCAUCUGCUAAAUGACUAAAU
This is a non-coding RNA of Larimichthys crocea (large yellow croaker), 54 nucleotides long. NCBI's taxonomy places the organism in Eukaryota, Metazoa, Chordata, Actinopteri, Sciaenidae. The record is from Rfam.